GGCUUUUAAUGGUUUUAAUAAAUGUGGUUUUAGGCGCACGGUUUCCUAAACCAUGCGUCGGAGGUUCGAAUCCUCUCGGGGCCA
Molecule: transfer RNA, 84 nt
Filed under: Salirhabdus euzebyi
Lineage: Bacteria; Bacillati; Bacillota; Bacilli; Caryophanales; Bacillaceae
Description: tRNA-Arg
Source: RNAcentral